UGGGGAAUUUUGGACAAUGGGCGAAAGCCUGAUCCAGCAAUGCCGCGUGUGUGAAGAAGGCCUUCGGGUUGUAAAGCACUUUUGUCCGGAAAGAAAUCCUUGGCUCUAAUACAGUCGGGGGAUGACGGUACCGGAAGAAUAAGCACCGGCUAACUACGUGCCAGCAGCCGCGGUAAUACGUAGGGUGCAAGCGUUAAUCGGAAUUACUGGGCGUAAAGCGUGCGCAGGCGGUUUGCUAAGACCGAUGUGAAAUCCCCGGGCUCAACCUGGGAACUGCAUUGGUGACUGGCAGGCUAGAGUGUGGCAGAGGGGGGUAGAAUUCCACGUGUAGCAGUGAAAUGCGUAGAGAUGUGGAGGAAUACCGAUGGCGAAGGCAGCCCCCUGGGCCAAUACUGACGCUCAUGCACGAAAGCGUGGGGAGCAAACAGGAUUAGAUACCCUGGUAGUCCACGCCCUAAACGAUGUCAACUAGUUGUUGGGGAUUCAUUUCCUUAGUAACGUAGCUAACGCGUGAAGUUGACCGCCUGGGGAGUACGGUCGCAAGAUUAAAA
RNAcentral lists this ribosomal RNA (551 nucleotides) under uncultured bacterium. RNAcentral describes it as "partial 16S ribosomal RNA". It matches the Rfam family "Bacterial small subunit ribosomal RNA", at positions 355 to 899 of the family's 1533-position model. The record is from RNAcentral.